AGUGAACGCUGGCGGUAGGCCUAACACAUGCCAGUCGAACGGCAGCACAGUAAGAGCUUGCUCUUACGGGUGGCGAGUGGCGGACGGGUGAGGAAUACAUCGGAAUCUACUUUUUCGUGGGGAUAACGUAGGGAAACUUACGCUAAUACCGCAUACGACCUACGGGUGAAAUUAGGUGAUCUUCGGACCUUGCGCGAUUGAAUGAGCCGAUGUCGGAUUAGCUAGUUGGCGGGGUAAAGGCCCACCAAGGCGACGAUCCGUAGCUGGUCUGAGAGGAUGAUCAGCCACACUGGAACUGAGACACGGUCCAGACUCCUACGGGAGGCAGCAGUGGGGAAUAUUGGACAAUGGGCGCAAGCCUGAUCCAGCCAUACCGCGUGGGUGAAGAAGGCCUUCGGGUUGUAAAGCCCUUUUGUUGGGAAAGAAAAGCAGCAGGUUAAUACCCCGCUGUUCUGACGGUACCCAAAGAAUAAGCACCGGCUAACUUCGUG
RNAcentral lists this ribosomal RNA (491 nucleotides) under uncultured bacterium. RNAcentral's name for it is "partial 16S ribosomal RNA". It matches the Rfam family "Bacterial small subunit ribosomal RNA", at positions 29 to 507 of the family's 1533-position model. The record is from RNAcentral.